AUACGGAGGGAGCAAGCGUUAUUCGGAAUCACUGGGCGUAAAGGACGCGUAGGCGGGUUUGUAAGUCAGGUGUGAAAUCCUACAGCUCAACUGUAGAACUGCACUUGAAACUACAGACCUAGAGUAUGGAAGGGGCAGAUGGAAUUAGUGGUGUAGGGGUAAAAUCCGUAGAUAUCACUGGGAAUACCGAAAGCGAAGGCGAUCUGCUGGGACAUUACUGACGCUGAGGCGUGAAAGCGUGGGGAGCAAACAGGAUUAGAUACCCCGGUAGUCC
Molecule: ribosomal RNA, 274 nt
Filed under: uncultured bacterium
Lineage: Bacteria
Description: partial 16S ribosomal RNA
Rfam family: Bacterial small subunit ribosomal RNA
Source: RNAcentral